UGGCUCUAGCAUUGAUGAAGAACGCAGCAAAAUGCGAUAAGUAAUGUGAAUUGCAGAAUUUAGUGAAUCAUCAAAUCUUUGAACGCACAUUGCGCCUUAUGGUAUUCCAAAGGGCAUGCCUGUAUGAGCAUCAUUAAAUAUCUUCAGAUUACUUUUAUUAGUUUUCUGGUGUUGGUAUAUAAAACAUUGUUUUAGCUACUUUUUAUAGCUAUCUAUAACUGCAGUUUUAAUAUUCAAAAUAUUGACUAAAGAUAGUUAUUUCUUUGUAUGACGUUACCAAGUUAAAUGAUAUAUUUACCUGUCUGCAUUAAAUAACAAGUCUUUAAAGCUCUUUAAAUUAAUAUUUUUAUUAUUUUGACCUCAUAUCAGGUAGAGAUACCCGCUGA
Molecule: unclassified non-coding RNA, 386 nt
Filed under: uncultured fungus
Lineage: Eukaryota; Fungi
Description: partial contains 5.8S ribosomal RNA and internal transcribed spacer 2
Rfam family: 5.8S ribosomal RNA (bases 1-133)
Source: RNAcentral